This 253-nucleotide ribosomal RNA is filed under the name uncultured bacterium. Its description in RNAcentral is "partial 16S ribosomal RNA". It matches the Rfam family "Bacterial small subunit ribosomal RNA", at positions 524 to 776 of the family's 1533-position model. The record is from RNAcentral.
UACGGAGGGUGCAAGCGUUAUCCGGAUUCACUGGGUUUAAAGGGUGCGUAGGUGGGCAGGUAAGUCAGUGGUGAAAUCUCCGGGCUUAACCCGGAAACUGCCAUUGAUACUAUCAGUCUUGAAUACCGUGGAGGUAAGCGGAAUAUGUCAUGUAGCGGUGAAAUGCUUAGAUAUGACAUAGAACACCGAUAGCGAAGGCAGCUUGCUACACAAUAAUUGACGCUGAGGCACGAAAGCGUGGGGAUCAAACAGG